GACCUCAAAUCAGGUAAGAAUACC
This 24-nucleotide ribosomal RNA is filed under the name Funneliformis mosseae. Its description in RNAcentral is "partial 28S ribosomal RNA". Lineage: Eukaryota; Fungi; Glomeromycota; Glomeromycetes; Glomerales; Glomeraceae. The record is from RNAcentral. RNAcentral also lists the same sequence under 1 other name.